This 396-nucleotide ribosomal RNA is filed under the name Triticum aestivum (bread wheat). RNAcentral's name for it is "partial small subunit ribosomal RNA". The record is from RNAcentral. Lineage: Eukaryota; Viridiplantae; Streptophyta; Magnoliopsida; Poales; Poaceae.
AUGCAGACAAGAGAAGAGUUUUGUUCGGCUGCCAGCAGCCGGCAGAAGAGAAAAAGAAGAAGAAGGGCAUUGCAAGACGCCUCGCCGCCUGGCCGGUCGAGCCUGACCGGCUGGGGCCCCGCUUCGAGCACUCGGGGGCUCGAAGGCCACACCCAGUGGGUGCGCCGCGCGCUCCGCGAGCGCCGAGCCGCGCCGGCUGUCUUAGGCAAACUCCACCUCGGCUACACGAAAAUCAAUGUGAGCUUCUCACCCGCAUAUUUUUUGCACCACGCAAGCAUGGAUAACCCCGAGCGAUGCUCGGGGGCUAUCUCCGCAUCUUAUUACAGUUGCAUCACUGUUCGCCCCGGCGCCAGCCAGAUUUGGCCCGGGGGCUGGCCGCUUGGCCUGAGACGUUAG